Molecule: ribosomal RNA, 450 nt
Filed under: uncultured Glomeromycotina
Lineage: Eukaryota; Fungi; Glomeromycota
Description: SSU rRNA
Rfam family: Eukaryotic small subunit ribosomal RNA
Source: RNAcentral
AGCAGCCGCGGUAAUUCCAGCUCCAAUAGCGUAUAUUAAAGUUGUUGCAGUUAAAAAGCUCGUAGUUGAAUUUCGGAAUCAGUAUGUUGGUCGUGCUUCGGUACGUACUGUCAUUACUGGUUUCUACCUUCUGAAGAACCUUGAUGUCAUUAAUUUGGUGUCUUGGGGAAUCAGGACUGUUACUUUGAAAAAAUUAGAGUGUUUAAAGCAAGCAUACGCUUGAAUACAUUAGCAUGGAAUAAUGAAAUAGGACGUUUGAUUCUAUUUUGUUGGUUUCUAGGAUCGACGUAAUGAUUAAUAGGGAUAGUUGGGGGCAUUAGUAUUCAAUUGUCAGAGGUGAAAUUCUUGGAUUUAUUGAAGACUAACUACUGCGAAAAGCAUUUGCCAAGGAUGUUUUCAUUAAUCAAGAACGAAAGUUAGGGGAUCGAAGACGAUCAGAUACCGUCGUAG